RNAcentral lists this ribosomal RNA (788 nucleotides) under Vanilla bahiana. RNAcentral's name for it is "eukaryotic LSU rRNA". The stretch from base 327 to 481 matches the Rfam family "5.8S ribosomal RNA". Lineage: Eukaryota; Viridiplantae; Streptophyta; Magnoliopsida; Asparagales; Orchidaceae. The record is from RNAcentral.
UUGCCGCGUGCGACUCGGCGAGAAGUCCACUGAACCUUAUCAUUUAGAGGAAGGAGAAGUCGUAACAAGGUUUCCGUAGGUGAACCUGCGGAAGGAUCAUUGACGAGAGGUUUGAAUGAUGGAACGAUCUGUCCAACCUGUGGGAGUGCGACGGUUGAUCGAUGUCGCUUUCUUUCGUAGCGCGUGCUCUUGCUAUCACGUGGAGCUCGACGUUAUGGGGAUAAACAAAAGCUUAUGGGCGUGGUCAGGCGCCAAGGCAGAGCAAAUGUUAAGCUGGCAAGCGAGCAUGUUGUGUCGUCAGGUCCAUUGAGUCCUGGCAAUCGAACGACUCUCGACAACGGAUAUCUUGGCUCUCGCAUCGAUGAAGAACGCAGCGAAAUGCGAUACGUGUUGUGAAUUGUAGAAUCCCGUGAACCAUCCAUUUUUUGAACGCAAGUUGCGCCCGAGGAUGCGAGCCGAGGGCACGCCUGCAUGGGUGUAAUGAGACCCGUCGCUCCUUGCGGAAGCCUGGAAUCUUUGGUUUGGUUCCUCGGCCCCGUUGUGGAGGCGAUUGAUGGCACCCCGUGCAGCGGCAUGGCGUGUUGAAGUGUGGGGCGACGGUCGACUGUCGACAUGGUAAGAGGUGGACGCCAUCGGUUGUUGUGGUGUUGGCCAGGAAGAAUCGAUGUUGAUUUGCGACAAGCGGAUGCCCCGCAUAGAUCCAGCUCCGUCCUCCAUGGUGUGGAAUCGUGACCCCAUGUUAGGUGAGGCUACCCGCUGAGUUUAAGCAUAUAAAUAAGCGGAGGAGA